CUGCCCUGGGUUCAGCAAGCAGUGUGGACGGCAAGACAGCUGGCAUCACGAACAGGGUCAGCGAGACAGAGGGUCUACAGGAGCCUUCCCUUAGACAGAGCUUCAUUGCAAAGUCUCGUUUCCAAUUUUCCCAACUCCUCUCUCACCCGGGCCUGGCCCUCCAAGGGCGCCCAGGUUGAAGCAAGCAGGCCGAGCUCUGUUGGUCAUUUCAGCGCUGUGGUCCUCUGUGGUCGUCCCUGCAGCUGUAGGAGGCUUACGGAACUGUCGCUAUUCUUGAAGUUGACGGGAGCUGGGUCACGCCCUUGGCUGCCAAGGCAGGGCCCGGAGCUGCUCCCCACCCGGGUCUAAAGGAAGGGCGCUGUAGUCACGGAUGGGAAGCGAGCUCCACUUGCACUGCAGACGCCCUCGCUGGGGCAGGGUACGCAGAAAUAGACAGCAGCGAUGCCCGGACGGUCAGGCUCACCAGACCUCUGUUGCCAAUCCCGAUCACCCUGCUCUGACCUUUGGAAAUUACAUGGUGCUGCAUGCUCUUGAUUCAGGGUACGGAUUCCGAGGGAAGAUGGCCGAGAAACCGUGGCUUGAGAUUCCUUUGUCACCAUUUUAUUAGCGUCUUUCCUUCUAAUCAGUCAUGCAGUCCAAGAGUGCAUUCAAACAGUUUGGGCUGGAGGAGCCCAUGACAUCAAAGGACGCAAUAUUAACACAGACACGAUGGCCGAGAACAGCACAGAGGAGUCCAGGACUGCAGAACUGCGUGCAGCCGUCUGGAAGGGCUGUGGGAGGAGACUUGAGGCUGUGGUACGCGGCCAAGAUAGGCUCCAAGAAAAAGUCGCUAAAGCUGGGUCUUAGAAAACGUGCCAGAUUUGAGCUGUGGAAGGGGAGGACAUCCCAGGAGCCAAGAGCAAAGGGAAGGCUCACUGUGCUUCUCUCUUAACCACGUGGCAUUCCUGCCCCGCUUGUAACCCCUUUGAAGCUGCCAAAACACAGGUGUGCUUUUGUUUUGAUUACAAACUCGGAGAGAGCUGUUGGUGGGACUUUUGAAUCCUGAGACCUGGCGCUUCUGCAGCUGCUCGGAUCCUUCCAAGAGCUGAGGGCUGAGCUGCAGGUAGAAGGGAGGCUUUGACUUCAGAGGUUCAGGCGGGGGUGCCUUCUCCACUCUCGCUGCCCCCCACCCUGGAAGCAGAGGCUUCUGAUCUCUUGCAGAGGAUCGCCAACGGCCCUGCCGUGCCAAGCGCCGACAGGAGGUCACGGCUGCUUUCAGCUGAGCAUUAGCCCCAGUGGGCUUGGCAGGAUUUUACAACAAUCAAAACUAAGCAGGUUAAAAGGCUCUGUGGGGGCGGGACGGGGUGACUGCCUGAGCCUAGAUCACAGCAUGCGCAGUGCAGCUUGGGCCUGGAACCGCCCCGAGGCCAGACGCCCGGGGUCUGAGCCAGAUAGAAAUCGGGACUGGCUGCGAGAAAGCAGCCUGCGAG
Bos taurus (domestic cattle) is the source of this 1469-nucleotide long non-coding RNA. NCBI's taxonomy places the organism in Eukaryota, Metazoa, Chordata, Mammalia, Artiodactyla, Bovidae. The record is from Ensembl.